Molecule: ribosomal RNA, 460 nt
Filed under: uncultured bacterium
Lineage: Bacteria
Description: partial 16S ribosomal RNA
Rfam family: Bacterial small subunit ribosomal RNA
Source: RNAcentral
CCUACGGGUGGCAGCAGUGAGGAAUAUUGGUCAAUGGGCGGAAGCCUGAACCAGCCAAGUCGCGUGAGGGAAUAAGGCCCUACGGGUCGUAAACCUCUUUUGCCGGGGAGCAAGGGCGGGGACGUGUCCCGUCCCGGAGAGUACCCGGAGAAAAAGCCUCGGCUAACUCCGUGCCAGCAGCCGCGGUAAUACGGAGGAUGCGAGCGUUAUCCGGAUUUAUUGGGUUUAAAGGGUGCGUAGGUGGUUUCUUAAGUCAGAGGUGAAAGGCUACGGCUCAACCGUAGUAAGCCUUUGAAACUGGGGAACUUGAGUGCAGGAGAGGAGAGUGGAAUUCCUAGUGUAGCGGUGAAAUGCGUAGAUAUUAGGAGGAACACCAGUUGCGAAGGCGGCUCUCUGGACUGUAACUGACACUGAGGCACGAAAGCGUGGGGAGCAAACAGGAUUAGAUACCCGAGUAGUC